RNAcentral lists this small nuclear RNA (106 nucleotides) under Chinchilla lanigera (long-tailed chinchilla). The record is from RNAcentral. Lineage: Eukaryota; Metazoa; Chordata; Mammalia; Rodentia; Chinchillidae.
GUGCUUGCUUCAGCAGCACAUACACUAAAAUUGGAAUGACACAGAGAAGAUUAGCAUGGCCCCAGGCAAGGAUGACAUGCAAAUUCGUGAAGCAUUGCAUAUUUUU